UUGCCAUAGGCUCUGGAGAGGAGAUGCAGUGUGUUUGUCUGGAGGUUUGACAGAAUCCAGUCUUCCAAACCGGGAGAAAAUGGUGAACGUCCUGAAAGGAGUGCUUAUUGAAUGUGCUAUUAAUACGAUGUGAAGAGUCUCGUGCUGUCACGCAAAGAGAUCAGACUCAUGGCUGUCGAAGGCAGCGGAAGGAGAUCAUCUGUGGAAUGAUUAUCACUGGCUCGAACUGUGCAGACAGAGCAACUAAACACCACUGAUCAAUUGGGCCAUGUGGAAAUUGCAGACGGAGUAUGGCGCUUACUGCCCCAGAGCCUGGGUGUGAUGUGAUGUAGGGAGUUGCUUUGGGAUGAUCACCCAGAGCUGAUUCCUGCAAAAAUGUAUGGUUUCUUCAGUCUACUUAUUGGUUCUGUUUUGUUGGUAAAAUAUAACUUUGAAUAAAAUGGCCUACAUUUGCAUUUCUGUCUACAGAAUUAAAAAUAAAUUAAGAACAGAGUCGGAUGUGCU
This 504-nucleotide long non-coding RNA is filed under the name Ornithorhynchus anatinus (platypus). RNAcentral's name for it is "lncRNA (ENSOANG00000038816.1)". The record is from RNAcentral. Lineage: Eukaryota; Metazoa; Chordata; Mammalia; Monotremata; Ornithorhynchidae.